AUUGAACGCUGGCGGCAGGCUUAACACAUGCAAGUCGAACGAGUGGCGGACGGGUGAGUAAUGCUUGGGAAUCUUGCUUAUGGGGGGGGAUAACUACGGGAAACUGUAGCUUAUAACGCGUACCAUAGGAUGAGCCCAAGUGGGAUUAGGUAGUUGGUGGGGGAAAGGCUCACCAAGCCGAGGAUAGCUAGCGGGUCUGAGAGGAUGACCGCCCACACGGGGCUGGUGCAACGCCCCAGCUUCCACGGGGGGGAAGAGGUGGGGAACAUUGGGCAAGGGGGACAGCCUACCGCAGCCAUGCCGCGUGAAGGAAGAAGCCCUUCGGUUUGUAAAGUUCUUUCGGUAGCGAGGCGGUACCGACAGAAGAAGCACCGGCUAACUCCGUGCCAGCAGCCGCGGUAAUUC
This 405-nucleotide ribosomal RNA is filed under the name uncultured bacterium. Its description in RNAcentral is "partial 16S ribosomal RNA". It matches the Rfam family "Bacterial small subunit ribosomal RNA", at positions 29 to 526 of the family's 1533-position model. The record is from RNAcentral.